Molecule: long non-coding RNA, 1869 nt
Organism: Panthera uncia (snow leopard)
Lineage: Eukaryota; Metazoa; Chordata; Mammalia; Carnivora; Felidae
Exons: 4
Source: RefSeq, a predicted model, not a curated record
CUGAUUUUCACCGAGAACAUUCCACUUCCGGUGUCCCACGCAUUGUUUCGGCGCCAUAUUGUUUCCCAGACCGGCCUCCAGAUUUGGUUGAAUGAAGCUGGCAUAGACAGGAAAGUUAUGAGGUGUGGAGUUUCUCUCCCGUGUCCUGUGGUGACGUAAGCGUGGACCUCCGGCUCUGGGCAAGAGUGUCUCCAAGUUUUGCUGGCCUCAUCAGCAGCAUGGGAAAGAGGAGAAAGUUCUAUGAGAUCUGCUCCUUGACUUUACCUUUGGUCCACAAAGACCCCAUAGGAUUUUCACAUUUGUUUUAGGAAAGUCUGAACACGCCUGCCAGAUGGUUGACAGUGAGCCCCCACAAGACACAGAAUGGAGGCUUGGUGUGGUCCUGGUCCCUGCACGGGGCACACAAAAGUUGCCAAGUUCCAAGCUCCCACUGGCAAAGCACCAGGAACGAGUUACAAAGUGUGCUGAACUUCCCAUGGAGGGGCCACGUCUGAUCUUCAGAGCAAGCCUCUGCCCCUUCCUCCCACCGGAUUCCAAUAUCCAAAAGUCAGACCUUAUGUUUCCAGCCCCUGGUGCGUAGAGGUGCUUGAUUAAAUCUUUUGAUAAGAAUUAAGUUUUGGUCCAUCACUGAGAAGAGAGCAUAAUUAACAGGCUUUUAAAAAAAAAUAGGCUGCUUGUUAGAGCAGUUUUAGAUUCACAGUAACAUUGAGGGGACAGUACAGAGUGCUCCCUCACCCCUGCACCGGUUAUGGCUGAUGAACCUGCACGGAUCCACCAUCAUCACCCAGAGUCCAUAGUUCACGCCAGGGCUCACUCUUGGUGGUGUGCAUUCCGUGGGGUACGACAACUGUAGAAGGACAUGCAUGCACCAGACAGUAUCAUUCAGAAUAGUUCCACUGCCCUACCAGUUCUCUGUGCUCUGCCUUCUAACGCUUCCCCACCCAGCCCCUGGCAACCACUGCUCUUACUGUCUCCGUUCUUUCGCCUUUUCUAGAAGGUCAUAUAGUUGGAAUCAUUCAGUACAUAGCCUUUUCAGAUUGGCUGCUUUCGCUUAGUGAUUUGCGCUUAAGGUUCCUCCUUGUCUGGUCACGGCUUGAUAGGUCAUUUCCCUUCAGUGCUGAGUAUUAGUCCGUUGUCUAAGGAGAGCAUAAUUUUCAUCUCAUAGAAAUGAAAAGCACUCCCUAGAUCCAUGGAAUUUGUCCUGAGCGUCGGAGCCAGACCCAGCACAGAACUGCUGGCACAUCCAGGAUCCACUGUCCCUAAAGAGACACAGAAAAUAAUUUUUUCCCCCUGAAUGGCAAUUGCGAUGGGAUCCUGACCCAUAGGUCCCCAUGAUAAAAAGCAGCCCAUGUGGGCCUGUCAUCUGAAGUGCAAACUAGCUAUUAUGUAUACAGUCCAGUCUCCAGGACCGUCAUGCUUAGCUCCAUGAAUAAAGCGCUUGCGGGAAAUUGCACUUCUAGGUAUUUAUCCAAAGGACACAGGUGUGCUGAUUCAGGGAGCACACGCACCCCAAUGUUUAUAGCAGCACUAUCGACAAUAACCAAAGUAUGGAAAGAGCCCAAGUAUCCAUCGACAGACGAAUGGAUGAAGAAGAUGUGGUGCAUACAUACGACGGGAUGCUACUCGACGAUCAAAAAGGAUGAAAUCCUGCCAUUUGCAACAACGUGGAUGGAACUAGAGUGUAUUAUAUGCUAAGGGAAAGAAGUCAGAGAAAGAGAAGUAACAUAUGAUUCACUCGUAUGUGGAAUUUAAGGAAAACAGAUGAACACAGGGGAAGGAAAAAUAAAAUAAGAUAAAAACGGAGAGGAAGGCAAAGCAUAAGAGACUCAAAUAUAGAGAACAGACAGGGUUGCUGGAGGGGAGGUGGGG